UAUUUCUUCACGUCAUUAUGCAGGCCGCAAGUAGGGGUGACAUGGGCCGUGAGAUUGUAAUGUAUUCCAUUACUCCCCAACACUGGUAACAGUUUUACACUUUGAAAACAAAUAAGAACGUUUUAGUUUUAGUUUUAAAAAUACAUUAACAAUUGUACCUCAAACUAAUUUAAAUCAAUCAGAUUUCACUUACAGAUAUGAAGGGACAAUAUUUUCAACAUUGUCUAUAAACACAAAAAGUGGGCCAACAGAGUCUCUGUAGAAGAAAAUUUCAUCACUUGGAGUUCAUCCAAGGAUUCUUUUGGGUAGUUUUUGGGCAGUUAUGUGACUGAUUUUAUUCAUUAAAUGUUAAUUUUAAUGGUCGGUGGGAUCAAAAGAAAGAAAAGAAAAUCAAUAAUUUCUGAUAAAGACUUUGGAUCAAAAUUAGGUUUUAAACAUCUCCUGGAGCAUCUUUGUUAUUGCAGAGCUCUCCCAUAGCUUUCAAAGACAGGCUGAGUGCCAUGUUUCUGUCUACUAAUGUGUUUGAAAAACAGUGCAUAAGUCAAAUUUUCUGAGGUUUUGAAUCACAUAUUCUCAAUAUUCUGGUAAUUACUUUUAUAACUGAGGCUAUGUCACUGUUCACUCAGAAACAGCAUCAACAUCUGGCUACAGAGUGAAUCAGCUUGAAAGAAACCACUGCACACUGUGCCACCAUGUUGGCAGUUAUGACAGUCAAAAGGACGAUGCAAAUGAUGCCGAGCAUGCAACGCACCAUGAAACAUAAUUGGAAAACUAAGAGCACAGUUACCUUCAGAGGAGUGGCAGCACACACACAUUGAGAGCAGGAGGAGCGUGAUGGAGAGGAUCUUCAGAGACAUUUUGACCGGUGGUUCGAUUCGCUGAUCAGGCUGCAACAAAAAGUUCAUCAGUGCUUGGAUAUUUAUUGGUAAGUGUAGGAAGAUUCGCAGGAAGAAGAAGUGACUGCGGGUUAUUUUAAUACGUGUUUAUCUGUGUGUGUGGCUGUAUCAUAAUCACACCUCCUCCUCUUAAUAGAGAUACUUUAAUAUUUCAAACCGCCAACAGCUCACUGAAAAGUUUCCGAGAAAUAGCCUCACAUUAGGACAUGCACAGACACGUCUUAUGGUGUACAGCCUGAUUGAGGCCAACAGUGUGUGCACCCAUUCAUCUGAGUAGAAUCCUUUUUUCUCCUCCUGUCCCCGAUGUGGUGUAUUUUCAUUGGUUUUCUUAAAACUUGCUACCUAUUCUGACCUGUCUUCCCUAUGUGAUGUUUGUGUAAUAUAUGUAUGGUCAGAAGCGGUCCAUUUUCACUGCAGGCAACUGCAAGUGACAAAUAAAGGCUUCAUUCA
Long non-coding RNA from Oreochromis niloticus (Nile tilapia), 1346 nucleotides. RefSeq lists it as uncharacterized. The transcript is spliced from 2 exons. The record is from RefSeq and is a predicted model, not a curated record. NCBI's taxonomy places the organism in Eukaryota, Metazoa, Chordata, Actinopteri, Cichliformes, Cichlidae.